CUUGAACUUGCUACCCCCUUUCCCUUGUACGUUGAACUUGAAGAACUCGCUCUAAGUCCAUAGAUGUUCUCCUCAACUCCAACGGCCAUAGAAACGGUAUCCCAAUCAAGAUCAUCUCCUUUAUACACUUGUUCAACUUCAUGAUUUUGGGGGGCUCCAGUUAACCAUUCAUUUGCCUCAUCAAUAUUGUCCAACAAAAUUUGAUCAAUAGUAUCGCGAGCUUCAUAACGUCGCCUCAAUGUUUUAUUGUAUUUAAUAUACACUAGAUCAUUGAGACG
Molecule: long non-coding RNA, 278 nt
Filed under: Nicotiana benthamiana
Lineage: Eukaryota; Viridiplantae; Streptophyta; Magnoliopsida; Solanales; Solanaceae
Description: long non-coding RNA (NBEN_LNC027146)
Source: RNAcentral